GUUUGCCUGGCUCCCUGCAUGCCAUAUAAGAGGCUUCUCAAAAUGGUUGACGACCCUUUUACUUGGCGUGAAGGGAGUCAAGCAGGC
Molecule: microRNA precursor, 87 nt
Filed under: Medicago truncatula (barrel medic)
Lineage: Eukaryota; Viridiplantae; Streptophyta; Magnoliopsida; Fabales; Fabaceae
Description: miRNA gene28032
Rfam family: mir-160 microRNA precursor family
About the family: The hairpin precursors (represented here) are predicted based on base pairing and cross-species conservation -- their extents are not known. In this case the mature sequence is excised from the 5' arm of the hairpin.
Source: Rfam by way of RNAcentral